GACGAACGCUGGCGGCGUGCUUAACACAUGCAAGUCGAACGGUGAAGGGACCAGCUUGCUGGUUCUGGAUGAGCGGCGAACGGGUGAGUAACACGUGAGUAACCUGCCCCCUUCUUCUGGAUAACCGCAUGAAAGUGUGGCUAAUACGGGAUAUUCUGGGUCUGUCGCAUGGCGGGCCCGGGAAAGAUAUUGCUUCGGUGGGGGAUGGGCUCGCGGCCUAUCAGCUUGUUGGUGGGGUGAUGGCCUACCAAGGCGGUGACGGGUAGCCGGCCUGAGAGGGUGGACGGUCACACUGGGACUGAGACACGGCCCAGACUCCUACGGGAGGCAGCAGUGGGGAAUAUUGCACAAUGGGCGCAAGCCUGAUGCAGCGACGCCGCGUGAGGGAUGGAGGCCUUCGGGUUGUAAACCUCUUUCGCCAGUGAAGCAGGCCUGCACCUUGUGGGUGGGUUGACGGUAGCUGGAUAAGAAGCGCCGGCUAACUACGUG
RNAcentral lists this ribosomal RNA (489 nucleotides) under uncultured bacterium. RNAcentral's name for it is "partial 16S ribosomal RNA". It matches the Rfam family "Bacterial small subunit ribosomal RNA", at positions 28 to 507 of the family's 1533-position model. The record is from RNAcentral.